AUGAACGCUGGCGGCGUGCCUAAUACAUGCAAGUCGAACGAGAAGUUAUUGUAGCCAUACGAUGACUUUUAGUGGCGAACGGGUGAGUAACGCGUUGGUGAUCUGCCCCGAAGUGGGGGAUAACAGCUCGAAAGGGCUGCUCAUACCCCAUGUGGUUGCGAGAGUUAGAGGUCUUGCAACUCACGGCGUAAUUCGCUUCGGGAGGAGCCUGCGUCCCAUCAGCUAGUUGGUAGGGUAACGGCCUACCAAGGCAAAGACGGGUAGGGGACCGGAGAGGGUGACCACCCACACUGGAACUGAAACACGGUCCAGACACCUAAGGGGGGCAGCAGUAGGGAAUAGUGCACAAGGGACGAAAGUCGGAUGCAGCAACGCCGCGUGUGCGAGGAAGGCCUUCGGGGUGUAAAGCACUUUUAUGAGGGAAGAGCAAGGACUGUACCUCAUGAAUAAGGAUCGGCUAACUACGU
Molecule: ribosomal RNA, 467 nt
Filed under: uncultured bacterium
Lineage: Bacteria
Description: bacterial SSU rRNA
Rfam family: Bacterial small subunit ribosomal RNA
Source: RNAcentral